CGCAUCUGUGCAUGCAGCAUAUCAAUAAGCGGAGGAAAAGAAACUAACAAGGAUUCCCUUAGUAACGGCGAGUGAAGCGGGAAGAGCUCAAAUUUGAAAUCUUCAAGGUUUUACCUUGACGAAUUGUAGUUUAAAGAAGUGUUUUCUGUUGAAGUUUUGGUAAAAGUUCUUUGGAAUAGGACAUCAUAGAGGGUGAGAAUCCCGUAUUUGACCAUUAUUUUCAGCUGUGUGAUACACUUUCAAAGAGUCGGAUUGUUUGGGAAUGCAGUCCAAAAUGGGUGGUAAAUUUCAUCUAAAGCUAAAUAUUGGCGAGAGACCGAUAGCGAACAAGUACCGUGAGGGAAAGAUGAAAAGAACUUUGAAAAGAGAGUUAAACAGUACGUGAAAUUGUCAAAAGGGAAGCGUUUGACACCAGUGUUGUUUUCUCGAAAAUCGAAUUAAAAAGAGUUAGAUUUUGUUGUGUAUUGACCUUAACAGCUUGCAUUUCAAUUUUCUUGCUUUUUUUAAUGCACUUUUCGUUUAACAAGUCAACAUCAGUUUCUUUUGUUGUAAAAAGGUCAUUGGAAGGUGGCUUUCUUUUCGGAGAAAGUGUUUAUAGCCUUUGACUCCUGCAAUCGGAGAGGACUGAGGUCUGCAGCGUAGAUCCUUCGGGGUUAGAUACAUUUGUGCUAAGUUAUAGCUUUUUAUAGACAACUUGUUGACUAUGAUUAGUCUUGUAGCUUACUCGCUUAUGCUAUUUUACCUACGCUUAGGAUGUUGAUCUGUAGUGCGUGCGC
This 776-nucleotide ribosomal RNA is filed under the name uncultured Neocallimastigales. RNAcentral describes it as "partial large subunit ribosomal RNA". It matches the Rfam family "Eukaryotic large subunit ribosomal RNA", at positions 26 to 633 of the family's 3401-position model. The record is from RNAcentral. Lineage: Eukaryota; Fungi; Neocallimastigomycota; Neocallimastigomycetes; Neocallimastigales.